This is a long non-coding RNA of Pieris brassicae (large cabbage white), 530 nucleotides long. RefSeq lists it as uncharacterized. The record is from RefSeq and is a predicted model, not a curated record. Lineage: Eukaryota; Metazoa; Arthropoda; Insecta; Lepidoptera; Pieridae. The transcript has 2 exons.
CCUAAGAAAAGUUACGUCGAGCGACCCAUCGUCACCCCCGCUGAUUUAGAGGGAAAGUCACCAGAAGAACAGGAAAUGCUUAAAGUGAUGGGCUUUUGUGGCUUCGAUACAACGAAAGGACUCCCGUGUUACAAAAAGUUUACAGAUGCACCUCAAACAUUUUUUAGGAACAGUCAAAGAAGGUAAAAUUCGUCAAAAUUUAACAUGAUUUCCUGAGAAAAGUUUAUAUCAUAGCUAUAAUUUAAAUAUUCUAUAAGAAGCGGCUGAGUUUAUUAAAUUAAACCAUUUUACGGUAACAAUAUAAAUUCAGCUGUUCAUGUUUUGCAUAAGGAUAUCGGUUUAGCAUCUCAACUUUGCAUUACUAAACUUCGACAGAGCUCAGGGCUAUUAGUUAUAACUGCAAACACAUAGUACAUACUAUCUCUAUCAGUGAUAAUAAUGUUGAAUUUGUAGAGACAUUCCAUUUAAUAAGAUUUUUACUAUCUCUAAAGUCAGUAAUAUAAAUGAUGGCAAAAAUCAAACAUCACAAA